Molecule: long non-coding RNA, 552 nt
Organism: Astatotilapia calliptera (eastern happy)
Lineage: Eukaryota; Metazoa; Chordata; Actinopteri; Cichliformes; Cichlidae
Source: Ensembl
ACAGUAAGUGUCUGCUAUGAAACAUUACUCAUGCAGGACCAUUCUCUAUUUGCUGAUCUUCACAAUCCUCAUCCUCACUCUGGAUGCUCAGAAUCAUGGUGAAAUUACCACUGUUACACAGAAUAAUCUCACAGUCAGCACGACUUCUGUUCCUGACAAUACAGAAACCUUGUUGCUGUACGUGUACUCUGCUGCUGGGAUCACCACAUUCGUCAUCAUAGUCAUAAUCAUAUCUGUCAUAUCAAUGCGAGGCUGUAAAGGGAAGCCAAAGAAAGACAGUCAAGUUGAAAAUCAGAUGGAGAUCCCCAUGGUGGAUCAAUUCUUUUCAAAAGUCAUCUUCAAGCACUUGGAAAGAGGAAAGAGGAAGACCCUCUGCUCUGCGAUCUCGGAGAUGUAACAAGGACACCAUCAUCGUAACUCAAUGAGCUGACAUUAUCAAGAUAUGAUGAACAGGCAUAUUGACCAAGGAGGGCAAUAUGCCUGCUCGAGGAGGAGAGCAGCUAUGUUGUGUUUGCUGCUCCCAACCACAAGCUGUACAAUUAGCAGGUGAUG